This 197-nucleotide ribosomal RNA is filed under the name Halorubrum sp. Atlit-26R. RNAcentral describes it as "partial 16S ribosomal RNA". It matches the Rfam family "Archaeal small subunit ribosomal RNA", at positions 1 to 199 of the family's 1478-position model. Lineage: Archaea; Methanobacteriati; Methanobacteriota; Halobacteria; Halobacteriales; Haloferacaceae. The record is from RNAcentral.
AUUCCGGUUGAUCCUGCCGGAGGCCAUUGCUAUUGGGAUCCGAUUUAGCCAUGCUAGUCGCACGAGUUCGGACUCGUGGCGAAUAGCUCAGUAACACGUGGCCAAACUACCCUUCGGAACACAAUACCCUCGGGAAACUGAGGCUAAUAGUGUAUACCACAUCACCACUGGAAUGAGUGAUGUGCCAAACGCUCCGG